Long non-coding RNA from Pipra filicauda (Wire-tailed manakin), 472 nucleotides. RefSeq lists it as uncharacterized. The record is from RefSeq and is a predicted model, not a curated record. Lineage: Eukaryota; Metazoa; Chordata; Aves; Passeriformes; Pipridae. The transcript has 2 exons.
AGCAGGGACAUCGUCACCUAGAUCAGGUUUUUCAGACCCCGGUUCAACCUGACCUUGAAUGUUUCCUGGGAGGUGGCUUGUUGAGCAUUGCAGGACUCUUUGUUUGUGGUGAGGUUUACAAGCACAUCGGGGCUGAUAUUUCCUCCAGCAUGUGCCCAAAGUUUACACCUAUCCUAAACCACUGCUAAGCACCACCUCUGAGCAGUCAACCUGACAAAUACACUGCAGAAAGUUCAGUGCUAGUGGUGUCACACUUCACUGCCAAUCAGAUGGGAGUGUUAAAGGCAUCUUACAACAUUGGCAGUGCCCAAAUGACCAUGAGACUCUUAGGAGGCAGCUACCAAAAGCUGAAUGACAGUGACGCUGGAACAACUCAUCACCAGUGAUGUGCUGCAUCAUGCUCACCAGUGUAAACAAGGAUGGAGUUACAAAGGGAAUUACAGGAGAAAUAAAUGUUCUGGAAGUGGUAUAA